GGUAAAGGUUACCUGCAGCCCGGAUAGGGAUCAGGCUUAGGGGACAGUGGUAAAGGUUACCUGCAGCCCGGAUAGGGAUCAGGGGACAGGGGUAAAGGUUACCUGCAGCCCGGAUAGGGAUCAGGGUUAGAGGGACAGUGGUAA
Salvelinus sp. IW2-2015 is the source of this 144-nucleotide non-coding RNA. The record is from RefSeq and is a predicted model, not a curated record. NCBI's taxonomy places the organism in Eukaryota, Metazoa, Chordata, Actinopteri, Salmoniformes, Salmonidae.